Molecule: ribosomal RNA, 439 nt
Filed under: uncultured bacterium
Lineage: Bacteria
Description: partial 16S ribosomal RNA
Rfam family: Bacterial small subunit ribosomal RNA
Source: RNAcentral
CUACGGGUUGCACCAGUGGGGAAUAUUGCACAAUGGGGGGAACCCUGAUGCAGCAACGCCGCGUGGAGGAUGACGCAUUUCGGUGUGUAAACUCCUUUUAUAUGUCAAGAAAAUGACGGUAGCAUAUGAAUAAGCGCCGGCUAACUCCGUGCCAGCAGCCGCGGUAAUACGGAGGGCGCAAGCGAUACUCGGAAUCACUGGGCGUAAAGGACGCGUAGGCGGGUUGAAAAGUCAGGUGUGAAAGCCUACAGCUUAACUGUAGAACUGCACUUGAAACUCUCAAUCUAGAGUAUGGGAGGGGCAGAUGGAGUUAGUGGUGUAGGGGUAAAAUCCGUAGAUAUCACUAGGAAUACCUAAAGCGAAGGCGAUCUCCUGGAACAUUACUGACGCUAAGGCGUGAAAGCGUGGGGAGCAAACAGGAUUAGAUACCCCGGUAGUC